AUGGCUAGAUAUUGGUGGAGUAGCUCAAUCGAUCGCAGAUCACUCCAUUGGAUCGAUUGGCCUUCACUUGCUGAACCCAAGGUUGCUGGAGGGAUGGGGUUUCGUAAUCUAGAAUUGUUCAACCUAGCCCUGCUCGGAAAGCAUGGGUGGAAUCUGAUUAUGAACCCGGACUCUCUCUGUGCUCGUGUACUUAAGGGAAAAUACUUCCCGCAAAGUGACUUCAUGGCUGCAACUGUCCCAAAGUGUGCCUCGGCCACAUGGUGAGCUAUAUGUGCGGGCAAGCAAGCAUUGGGAGCCGGCCUUGUGAAACGAAUUGGAGAUGGCACCUUGGUGUCCAUUUGGAAUGAUAGUUGGGUGCCAGGCCUACUCUCCUUACGGCCAACUGCUCACAUCGGUAACACCAACAUUAUUGUUGUGUCUGAGCUGAUCGAUGGAGAUCGAGGUUUAUGGAAGGUGGAAUUAGUGAGGCACUAUUUCAUCGCCCCCGAAGCUGAUGCUAUUCUCAAUAUCCCGUUGAGGGCGGAGGGGGGAGAGGAUUACUGGGCAUGGAAUGCUGAAAAGUCGGGCAUCUACACUGUGAAAUCAGCGUACCGUUCUCUUAUGACCUUGAACGAGCAUUCUGCUCAAAGGGAAGGGACGGUUACGGAAUCCUCAGAGCAGCAAAAACAGUUGUGGACAAGACUUUGGAAGCUAAAAGUUGUGCCAAAGGUGAGAGUGUUUUGGUGGCGAGUGCUAAGGGGAAUUCUCCCCCAUUGA
This 756-nucleotide ribosomal RNA is filed under the name Triticum aestivum (bread wheat). RNAcentral describes it as "partial small subunit ribosomal RNA". The record is from RNAcentral. Lineage: Eukaryota; Viridiplantae; Streptophyta; Magnoliopsida; Poales; Poaceae.